RNAcentral lists this ribosomal RNA (279 nucleotides) under uncultured bacterium. RNAcentral's name for it is "partial 16S ribosomal RNA". It matches the Rfam family "Bacterial small subunit ribosomal RNA", at positions 506 to 784 of the family's 1533-position model. The record is from RNAcentral.
UGCCAGCAGCCGCGGUAAUACGAGGGGUGCUAGCGUUGUCCGGAAUCAUUGGGCGUAAAGGGUCCGUAGGCGGUUUAACAAGUCGAUUGUUAAAGACAUCGGCUUAGCCGAUGGAGUGCAGUUGGAACUGUUAGAAUAGAGUUUAGGAGAGGAAAGUGGAAUUUCUGGUGUAGCGGUGACAUGCGUAGAUAUCAGAAGGAACACCAAUGGCGAAGGCAACUUUCUGGCCUAAAACUGACGCUGAGGGACGAAAGCGUGGGGAGCGAACAGGAUUAGAUA